Molecule: ribosomal RNA, 429 nt
Filed under: Chloroflexota bacterium
Lineage: Bacteria; Bacillati; Chloroflexota
Description: Chloroflexi bacterium partial 16S ribosomal RNA
Rfam family: Bacterial small subunit ribosomal RNA
Source: RNAcentral
UGGGGAAUAUUGCACAAUGGGCGCAAGCCUGAUGCAGCCAUGCCGAGUGUAUGAAGAAGGCCUUCGGGUUGUAAAGUACUUUCAGUCGGGAGGAAGGUGGUAAGGUUAAUAACCUUAUCAAUUGACGUUACCGACAGAAGAAGCACCGGCUAACUCCGUGCCAGCAGCCGCGGUAAUACGGAGGGUGCAAGCGUUAAUCGGAAUUACUGGGCGUAAAGCGCACGCAGGCGGUUUGUUAAGUCAGAUGUGAAAUCCCCGGGCUCAACCUGGGAACUGCAUCUGAUACUGGCAAGCUUGAGUCUCGUAGAGGGGGGUAGAAUUCCAGGUGUAGCGGUGAAAUGCGUAGAGAUCUGGAGGAAUACCGGUGGCGAAGGCGGCCCCCUGGACGAAGACUGACGCUCAGGUGCGAAAGCGUGGGGAGCAAACAGG